RNAcentral lists this ribosomal RNA (274 nucleotides) under uncultured bacterium. Its description in RNAcentral is "partial 16S ribosomal RNA". It matches the Rfam family "Bacterial small subunit ribosomal RNA", at positions 523 to 796 of the family's 1533-position model. The record is from RNAcentral.
CUACGGAGGGUGCAAGCGUUAUUCGGAAUCACUGGGCGUAAAGGGUGCGUAGGCGGUUUGAUAAGUCUGAUGUGAAAUCCUAUGGCUCAACCAUAGAACUGCAUUGGAAACUGUCAGACUAGAAUACUGAAGGGGCAGAUGGAAUUAGUGGUGUAGGGGUAAAAUCCGUAGAUAUCACUAGGAAUACCGAAAGCGAAAGCGAUCUGCUGGGAAGUUAUUGACGCUGAGGCACGAAGGCGUGGGGAGCAAACGGGAUUAGAAACCCCAGUAGUCC